Long non-coding RNA from Pieris rapae (cabbage white), 301 nucleotides. RefSeq lists it as uncharacterized. The transcript is spliced from 3 exons. The record is from RefSeq and is a predicted model, not a curated record. NCBI's taxonomy places the organism in Eukaryota, Metazoa, Arthropoda, Insecta, Lepidoptera, Pieridae.
AUUAGUCACAGCCCUAGCUUUCGGCGGACCCCAUACCUGUGGUACGUUUGAAUCACUACACACCUAUGGAAUUUUCUUUCUAUGUUCGCAAUAUGCACUUGCAAACAUCGCGAGGAAACUGUCUCAAACCAAAAAGUCGAUGAUAAAGACAAAAGACAGAAGUAUACAGACGACUGAUCACCUACUUGUCUAGGAAAAUGAAAAUGAUCGAAGAAACGGAUGCAAUCUGAGGCCAAGCCCAAGUGCAAAAGACUAUAGCCAGUCGUGUAGUUCGUAUCUGAAGUCUCAAACUCGUAAUGCC